GCCGCGGUAACCCAGUUGGUAGAGUCGUCUGCAGUACCUAUGCCGAAAGUAGCUGGUUCAAAACCAGCCUGCGGUG
Phthorimaea operculella (potato tuberworm) is the source of this 76-nucleotide non-coding RNA. NCBI's taxonomy places the organism in Eukaryota, Metazoa, Arthropoda, Insecta, Lepidoptera, Gelechiidae. The record is from the annotation of a GenBank genome assembly.